AAUGAUUAAGAAUAUAUGGUGAAUUCAAUUGUGGUGAAUAAUUGGAGGUAUCUACCGAGAGAAGCAAGUCGAAACGGGCAAAGGCAUUGAUCUUUAAUAUAUACAGUACUUGAGUCUGCAGUGUGGCGUCAAAUUGAAUCUCCAUACGCAUUCUUCUCUUCUGGGUCUUCUUUUCAUCUCUUCCUCUCUCCUCCCUUCUUCCCAAUCCCCACACUUCCAUCUUUUUUUUCUCCAUUUCUUUCUCAAUAUUCCUCCAUUUUAGUGUCUCUCAUCUUUGCUUCAUCAAUUCAGGACAAUGCUUAUGGACUGAAUAUUGCAUUAUAUGGGAGGUAUAGACGACAUUGAGCCACCUUUGAAACGUACUAAGGAAUCGAAUAGUUUCUUGUUACAUCAACCCGGUAUCUGUUGCUUUGGGGAAUACAAUGGCUAGGACUUUUAUCAUUGAUGAAAUGGUAGGAUCUAGAGGGCUUAUAAGAAGAGAUGAAUUCGUUAAAAUCAUCACCAGUGCCUUGUAUUCUCUCGGUUAUGGUAAGGCUGGAGCUCUUUUAGAAGAAGAAUCCCAAAUAAAGUUGCAUCCAUCUAGUGUAACUUCAUUUAUGCAGCUUGUGUUGGAAGGGAAAUGGGAUGACAGUAUUACCAUUUUGCGUGAGUUUGGUCUCUCUCCUGAGACCAAGAAAUGUGCAACAUUCGUUAUUUUGGAGCAAAAAUAUCUGGAACACCUACAAAGUGGAAAUACUAAAGAUGCGCUGUUGACGCUUAGGAAUGAGAUUUCACCUCUUUGUAUAAACACGAACAGGGUUCAUCAGCUUGCUGCCUGCCUUGUCUCUCAUUCACAAAUCAUAAUUCCCAGCACUGAAACUAUUUUUGUCAGUUCGCGGCAAGAAAUUUUGGAGAAUUUGCAGAAGUUGCUUCCUGCUGAAGUGAUUGUACCUGAAAGAAGAUUAGAACAACUUGUGGAGCAGGCUCUUGACAGGCAACGAGAAUCUUGUGUGUUCCACAACAUACUUGAUAGUGGAUUAUCCUUGUAUAUUGACCAUCGAUGUGAGAGCCACCAGAUUCCUUCUGAAAAUAUACAGGUACUUCAAGCACACGGCGGUGAAGUUUGGUAUGUGCAGUUUUCACACAAUGGGAAGUACCUAGCAUCAGCAGCUACAGAUCGGAUGGUAUAUAUUUGAGAGACUCUUAAGAGUGGCCGGGUGUGUCUAAAGCAUUUGCUAGCUGGUCAUAACAAACUUGUCUGUACUGUUUCUUGGAGUCCCGAUGACAGCCAACUUCUUACAUGUGGACUGGAAGAAGUUGUUAGACGUUGGGAUGUCCAGUCUGGUAAAUGUCUCCAUGUUUAUGAAAACCUUGGCACUGCUUUGGUUUCAUGUGGUUGGUUUCCUGACGGAAAAGGAGUAUUCUGUGGUGCCACUGAUAAAAGUAUCUGCAUAUGGUAUCUAGAUGGAAGAGAAGAGGAAUGUUGGAGAGGUCAUAGGACACUACAGACAUCGGAAAUGGCUAUAACCAAUGAUGGAAAGAGUCUAUUAAGCCUUUGCCAGGAUAGUGCUAUAGUGUUUCUUGACAGACAAGCGAAGUUUGAGAGAUUGAUUGAAGAAGACCAAGCUAUAACAUCAUUCUCUUUAUCUAAGGACAGCAAGUUCUUGCUUGUAAACCUUGCUAACGAAGAGAUACAUCUCUGGAGCCUAGAGGGUGAUUUCAAAGUUAUCUGUACGAACAAAGGACACAAACGUUCCCGUUUUGUCGUUCGUUCCUGCUUUGGGGGCAUUGAGCAAGGCUUUAUUGCCAGCGGUAGUGAGGAUUCACAGGUAUACAUAUGGCACCGAAGCACCGGAGAGCUCCUCUUGACGUUGCCUGGACAUUCAGGAGCUGUCAAUUGUGUGAGUUGGAAUCCGUGUAACCUUCAUAUGAUGGCAUCAGCAAGCGAUGACAGGAAUGUUAUAAUAUGGGGUUGUUAGUAAUUCAAAAUUUCAAACUUGUAGAUGGAAAAAGAUAGGGAAGCAAGGAGGAUAGCAAUACAUCUCUCUCUCAUACAUAACAUCACAUGCCUAUUUUCUUUUGUGUACAUAUUCUGCUUUUGGCACUGGUAGCAUCAAGAAAGCCUUGCAGCUACGCCUCUGUCUGCCAUCAUUACUGUAAAGUGUAAAUUGUGGAAUUAUCUACAUCUUACUUCUACCAUUGCACAUGUUGAUCCUCUAAUUUUCUAGA
RNA transcript from Chenopodium quinoa (quinoa), 2208 nucleotides. It is a transcript of the gene named WD repeat-containing protein 26-like, with no coding region annotated. The transcript has 5 exons. Lineage: Eukaryota; Viridiplantae; Streptophyta; Magnoliopsida; Caryophyllales; Amaranthaceae. The record is from RefSeq and is a predicted model, not a curated record.